UAAAUACCGAUACAGGGCUCUUUUGGGCCCUGUAAUUGGAAUGAGUACAAUUUAAACCUCUUAACGAGGAACAAUUGGAGGGCAAGUCUGGUGCCAGCAGCCGCGGUAAUUCCAGCUCCAAUAGCGUAUAUUAAAGUUGUUGUGGUUAAAAAGCUCGUAGUCGAACCUCGAGCCUGGCCGACCGGUCCGCCUCACCGCGUGCACUGGCCUGGCCGGGCUCUUCCCUCUGCGGAACCGCAUGUCCUUCACUGGGCGUGUCGGGGAGGCAGGACUUUUACUUUGAAAAAAUUAGAGUGCUCAAGGCAGGCCAAUGCUCGAAUACAUUAGCAUGGAAUAAUAGAAUAGGACGUUGGUUCUAUUUUGUUGGUUUCUAGGACCGCCGUAAUGAUCAAUAGGGACGGUCGGGGGCAUCAGUAUUCAGCCGUCAGAGGUGAAAUUCUUGGACCGGCUGAAGACUAACUACUGCGAAAGCAUUUGCCAAGGACGUUUUCGCUGAUCAGGAACGAAAGUUAGGGGAUCGAAGACGAUCAGAUACCGUCGUAGUCUUAACCAUAAACUAUGCCGACUAGGGAUCGGGCGGCGUUCUUUCUAGACCCGCUCGGCACCUUUCGAGAAAUCAAAGUGCUUGGGCUCCAGGGGGAGUAUGGCGGCAACGCUGAAACUUAAAGGANNGGACGGAAGA
This 682-nucleotide ribosomal RNA is filed under the name Phaeoisaria aquatica. RNAcentral's name for it is "SSU rRNA". It matches the Rfam family "Eukaryotic small subunit ribosomal RNA", at positions 474 to 1163 of the family's 1831-position model. The record is from RNAcentral. Lineage: Eukaryota; Fungi; Ascomycota; Sordariomycetes; Pleurotheciales; Pleurotheciaceae.